This 253-nucleotide ribosomal RNA is filed under the name uncultured bacterium. Its description in RNAcentral is "partial 16S ribosomal RNA". It matches the Rfam family "Bacterial small subunit ribosomal RNA", at positions 524 to 776 of the family's 1533-position model. The record is from RNAcentral.
CACGUAGGGCGCAAGCGUUGUCCGGAAUUAUUGGGCGUAAAGAGCGUGUAGGCGGUUAGGUAGGUCCGUUGUGAAAACUCGAGGCUCAACCUCGAGACGCCGAUGGAAACCAUCUAACUAGAGUCCGGAAGAGGAGAAUGGAAUUCCUGGUGUAGCGGUGAAAUGCGCAGAUAUCAGGAAGAACACCCGUGGCUAAGGCGGUUCUCUAGUACGGUACUGACGCUGAGACGCGAAAGCGUGGGGAGCGAACAGG